GGAAUAUUGCACAAUGGGGGAAACCCUGAUGCAGCAACGCCGCGUGAAGGAAGACGGAUUUCGGAUUGUAAACUUCUUUUCUUAGUGAAGAAGAAAGUGACGGUAGCUAAGGAAUAAGCAUCGGCUAACUACGUGCCAGCAGCCGCGGUAAUACGUAGGAUGCGAGCGUUAUCCUGACUUACUGGGUGUAAAGGGAGCGCAGGCGGGACCGCAAGUGGGAUGUGAAAAGCCGCAGCUUAACUGCGGAGCUGGAUCCAAAACUGUAGUUCUUGAGUGGAGUAGAGGCAAGCGGAAUUCCGAGUGUAGCGGUGAAAUGCGUAGAUAUUCGGAGGAACACCAGUGGCGAAGGCGGCUUGCUGGGCUCUAACUGACGCUGAGGCUCGAAAGUGUGGGGAGCAAAC
Molecule: ribosomal RNA, 401 nt
Filed under: uncultured bacterium
Lineage: Bacteria
Description: bacterial SSU rRNA
Rfam family: Bacterial small subunit ribosomal RNA
Source: RNAcentral